GACGAACGCUGGCGGCGUGCUUAACACAUGCAAGUCGAGCGGUAAGGCCCUUUCGGGGGUACACGAGCGGCGAACGGGUGAGUAACACGUGGGCGACCUGCCCUCAGCUCUGGGAUAAGCCCGGGAAACUGGGUCUAAUACCGGAUAUGACCACAUGUCGCAUGGUGUGUGGUGGAAAGUUUUUUCGGCUGGGGAUGGGCCCGCGGCCUAUCAGCUUGUUGGUGGGGUGAUGGCCUACCAAGGCGACGACGGGUAGCCGGCCUGAGAGGGCGACCGGCCACACUGGGACUGAGAUACGGCCCAGACUCCUACGGGAGGCAGCAGUGGGGAAUAUUGCGCAAUGGGCGGAAGCCUGACGCAGCGACGCCGCGUGGGGAUGAC
This 381-nucleotide ribosomal RNA is filed under the name uncultured bacterium. RNAcentral's name for it is "bacterial SSU rRNA". It matches the Rfam family "Bacterial small subunit ribosomal RNA", at positions 28 to 412 of the family's 1533-position model. The record is from RNAcentral.